UACUCAGCAGAGUCCUGUUAAAGCGCUCAACAGGGUUAGCUUGCGGAUGGUAUGGCGUGGUGCGAGAGUGAUACAUACCACUGUACUUUUGAAGUUUGUGAAACAGCUGGUUCUCAAACUCUCGUCCUUGGUCGUGGUGAAGCCUGGAUGGAAAACCAAAGCGUGGGAUGAAGUCAUCAAACAGCUUCUUUGCAGCAGUUUUCCCAGCCUUAUCUUUGGUUGCAUAGGCUUGCGCAUAUUUGGUGAAAUGGUCCUCUAAAACCAGGAUAUACUCUUCACCUCCCUUGCAUCUCUCCAGAUGUACAAAGUCUAUGGAGACCAUCUCAAAUGGGGCAGAGGUCUCAAUACUCUGGAGUGGUGUUCUUGUGAUUCUGUUUGGCUUCUUCCUCUUGAUGCAGGCACAAACCUGUGUGACAUGAUGUUCCACCUCCUGUCUCAUUUUUGGCCAGAAGAAACGUCCUCGAGCCAGAGCAACCAUCCGGUCAGCACCUAAGUGUCCCAUCUCCUCAUGGAGGUACUUGUACACCAGGGGCUUCAUUGGCUCUGGCACCACCAGUUGUGUCCUGUUUGUUUUUCUCCACAAGAGCCCAUCCGCAUCCAGCUCCAGCCUUGGCCACUCCCUGAGAAGAGCGCGAACCUGCUUAUUUUCAGCUGCUUUAUCUCUGUACUUCAGGUAAGUAUGGUUCCUUUUCAGGUUGAUGACUCUCUGGAUUAUUGGGUCUGCCUGCUGCUGGACCAGGAUGUCUUGGAUGGUGAAAGGCUGGAUUGGUGAUACAACACUGCCAUCUUGUGAUAAAACAUCCACAUUGCAGUACACUCUUCCAUGAUGGUUUCCAUGGGUGUGGGCCUACGGGACAGGAAGUCAGCGUCCCCGUUAGCUGUCCCAGGUCUGUACUUCAGGGUGAAUCUAUAGUCUGCCAGCUCUGCAACCCAGCGAUGGCCAGUAGCAUUGAGUUUUGCUGAUUUGGUGACAUAGGUGAGUGGGUUAUUAUCACUGUAGACAGUGAAGUGAGGUGCAUGGAACAGGUAAUCACGGAAACGUUCAGUGAUAGCCCAUUUCAGUGCGAGGAAUUCCAGUUUACCUGAGUGCAGCUUGUAAUUCUUUUCAGCUGGAGAGAGGGUUCUGGAUCCGUAGCCGAUAACUCUCAGAAUACCACCCUGGCGCUGGUACAGUACAGCUCCGAGUCCUUCUUCAGAGGCGUCAACAUGAAGGAUGAAAGGUCGCUCGAGGUCAGGAUACGCCAUGACAGGUGGAUUGGUGAGCUUAUUCACAAAGGUCUCCAAAAUGGCUUUGUGUGCAUCUGUCCACUGUACAGGUGAGGAGGGCGAGAGCUGGUAGCUGGCACGCUUCAUCCCCUUCUUGUGGUGGUGCUUUGGCUCACAUUUUGGCUUUGCCAGCAGCUCAUACAGUGGCUUCGCAGUCCUGGAGAAGUCCUGGAUGUAAGCUCUGUAGUAGCUCAGGAAUCCAAGGAGCUUUCUCACCUCCUUCACUGUAGCUGGGGUCUGGUGUGCGAGCGCCUUUACUGCCUCCACCUCCUUUGGGUUCAUCCUGUAUCCUUCUGCAGAGAUGACACGACCAACAUAGGUUACUUGUGGCUUGAAAAAUUCACAUUUACCUGCUCUGAGCUUGAUUCCACAGGCUUUCUGUCGUUGCAGGACUUGUCUGACAUUGUGCACAUGUUGGUCAAAUGUGCGGCUGAACACAAGGACAUCAUCCAGGACGUUCAAGCUCUGUGGUGGCGACGAGGAUGGGGACAACCACAGGCUUGUCACUCAUCCCAGCUACAGCAUUCUGGGACAGUGUGAACUCCACUUCAAUCCAGCCUUGGUACGGGAUCUGUGUUCCAUUGGCGGCAGACAGGUCCAGUCCUCCUUCCUCCAGUAACUCCUCCACAGGCCGCACGGCAACGUCUGGUUGUAGGCAGCAGUCAUUUUCUCCAGUAGGACCUCAUCUGUUACUGUUGGAUUCUGUAGGUGAGGCUUUAAAUCUGUGCGAAUGGUGUCAUCAUGGAGUCCAGUCCAUGGCUCGAACUAGAAACUGGACUGGAGUCUCUCUGGGCUCUUGUGCAGCACGUGGUGAACAGCAGUAGCACUCCUUUCAGAAAAGUUCAUAGCAGUAGUGGUGGUUGACAUUGUGGCAGAGGUGCGUUGUCUUACCACAUUCUCUGGGAUGGGUGCAGUACCAUCUGUGGCCGCUGGGGAGCGGUGUAGCGACGUGGGACCGGACUUUGACAACGCUUUUAAUUCAUCAAUUUUAUCAGUCACUUUCAACAAUAAGGACAGUCCUUCAUCUUCAAGCGAUGUGACAUCUUCCCCCUCUAAGUGCAGGAGAAUAAUCCUUCUCACUUUGCGAGGUGAGUCCUUAUCA
Salarias fasciatus (jewelled blenny) is the source of this 2368-nucleotide long non-coding RNA. RefSeq lists it as uncharacterized. The transcript has 6 exons. Lineage: Eukaryota; Metazoa; Chordata; Actinopteri; Blenniiformes; Blenniidae. The record is from RefSeq and is a predicted model, not a curated record.